UACGGGGGGAGCAAGCGUUGUUCGGAUUUACUGGGCGUAAAGAGCGCGCAGGCGGUCGUGCAAGUCGCGUGUGAAAGCCCCCGGCUCAACUGGGGAGGGUCACGCGAUACUGCUCGACUUGAAGGCAGGAGAGGGAAGUGGAAUUCCCGGUGUAGUGGUGAAAUGCGUAGAUAUCGGGAGGAACACCAGUGGCGAAGGCGACUUCCUGGCCUGUUCUUGACGCUGAGGCGCGAAAGCUAGGGUAGCAAACGGG
RNAcentral lists this ribosomal RNA (253 nucleotides) under uncultured bacterium. Its description in RNAcentral is "partial 16S ribosomal RNA". It matches the Rfam family "Bacterial small subunit ribosomal RNA", at positions 524 to 776 of the family's 1533-position model. The record is from RNAcentral.